RNAcentral lists this ribosomal RNA (497 nucleotides) under uncultured bacterium. RNAcentral's name for it is "partial 16S ribosomal RNA". It matches the Rfam family "Bacterial small subunit ribosomal RNA", at positions 28 to 507 of the family's 1533-position model. The record is from RNAcentral.
GAUGAACGCUGGCGGCGUGCCUAACACAUGCAAGUCGAGCGAACAGACGAGGAGCUUGCCCCUCUGACGUUAGCGGCGGACAGGUGAGUAACACGUGGAUAACCCAUCUAUAAGACUGGGAUAAAUCCGGGAAACAGGAGCUAUAACCGCGUAAACUAUUGAAUCGCAUGGUCGAAUAGAGAAAGACGGUUUUGCUGUCAUGUAUGGAUGGAUCGGAGCCGCUUUAGCUAGUUGGUAAGGUAAUGGCUUACCAAGGCAACGAUGGGUGGCCGACCUAGGAGGGUGACCGGCACCACUGGACUUGGAACACGGUCCAGCUUCCUACGGGAGGAGGAAUGAGGGAAUCUUCCGCAUUGAGGGAAAGCCUGCGGGGCCAACGCCGCGUGAGUGAUGCAGGUCUUGGGAUCGUAAAACUCUGUUAUUAGGGAAGAACGAAUGUGUAAGUAACGAUGCACGUCUUGACGGUACCUGAACAGAAAGCCACGGCUAACUACGUG